GCUACUAUUUUGUUUUAUGCACUUUAUAUAUGUCCCUGUAUAUUUGUGAACACUAUUAAAUUUUGAAUAAGUAUCCCCACUCUUUAUUGGAAUUAUUAUAUCUCCUGUAUCCUGAUCCAAGUGGAGAAUCCUGGAGACGUGGUAGAGUUCAGCAUACCAGGGAAUUAUUAAAGAGCAACUAUAGUCAGAGCCUACUAUACGUGGCUCUGCAAAGUGUGAGUGAAAAUCCACAUUUACUUACUAUAUUAUUUGGUUAAACAGUAUUAUGCUAUGUUUGGAUCUCUUUGUAUAUAGGUUACAUUUAAAGGACUGACCAGUGUCUCUAAGUAUACCAUAUACAUUUGUAUUUGCAC
Molecule: non-coding RNA, 353 nt
Organism: Pelobates cultripes (western spadefoot toad)
Lineage: Eukaryota; Metazoa; Chordata; Amphibia; Anura; Pelobatidae
Source: the annotation of a GenBank genome assembly